Pelobates cultripes (western spadefoot toad) is the source of this 227-nucleotide non-coding RNA. NCBI's taxonomy places the organism in Eukaryota, Metazoa, Chordata, Amphibia, Anura, Pelobatidae. The record is from the annotation of a GenBank genome assembly.
GUCAUCUGCGAAGGCACUUAUCUUAACUUCUCUAGAUCCGACCAGAAUUCCAGAAAUAUUGGGGUGGGAUCUAAUUGCGACCAGAAGUGGUUCCAGGGCUAACACAUAUAAUAGUGGGGACAGUGGGCAUCCCUGUCUGGUCCCGUUAGAUAAUUUGAAAGGGUCCGAUAGGAACCCGGCUUGCAGAACUCUAGCUUUCGGAGCCGAGUAUAGUGCAAAAAUUUGCG